CAAAUUUGAAUCAUCUAUUGAUAACAUUCAAGGCCAGGACAUCAAUUCAACUAAAGUGUUUUGUAUACUCUGUACAUUCUUGUCUUCCUAUUCUGUUUUAGGAUGUAUUUUUCUCUGUCUAGUUCUGGUGGUUGUGUUCUCUAUUUAGUUGGUAGCUUUCUCUAUUUAUUUUUUAUUUGAUUGUAGUUGAACUAAACUUGUUGUACCAAUGGUUCUCACCCUUCUCACGUAAUAACAUUUCUUGUCCUUUCUUUUUGAUAAUUGAAGUGUGAUUUUAUAACAAGAUAUGAAAACUAUUACUGGCAUCCCAAGGAGAGGCAUGAGGUGCAACCUCUCCUUAAAAGAAAAUUACAGAUCAAACAAUAGGGAAUAGAUUACACUGCAGCCCGGUACAAAUUUUCCCUUUUAACCCCUUGUUUGGCAAGACAAUCAGCCAAGGCAUUCACCGAUAAUAGUUUUGUCCUCUGUUACUGAUAAAAGAAUACCAUUGAUAUUUUUUAUAUGUGCAAGUACUCAUUUAUACCAUGGUUCAUAUAUAAAAUGGUAAAACAUCUCCCUAUUGAUUAAUAUGAAUGGAUUUGGUUAAUAGUUUUGGGUGCUGGUGCUUCCAAAGACUUGAUGACUGAAGAGACUCCCACUUGCCAAAACUGCUUAUACAGCUUAUUUAUAUAUAGGUCAUCAAUGCCAAUCUUUAUCACUGGAUUACUAUUUCCAGUGUUAAGACCACAUGACAUGGUUCAUUUCUAUAAUAGUAAGCAAAGUAAAAAGUGUAUACUCUUUUUCUUACUGUUCAAAACAUGCAUAUACUAUUAUUUCAUAAGUGCUGCCAAAGACUUGGUGUAUUUCUAUAAUGCUGGUUUAAUGAAUGGGGUUUAGGGUUAGGAACAUUGUAUUUAGAAACAUUGCUUUGCUAUGUAAAUGGUUAUGGAGAUUCCUCUUUGAGAGAGAAAGGCUGUGGCAUAAUGUAAUAGUAAGAUUCAUGGGCUGGAAAGUAAUGGUUGGAAUGCUAAAGUUGCUCUCCACUCCUCAAUAUGUCCUUGGAAGAUGGGAGAGUUCGUGGAGGUAGGCCGUUGGAAAAAAUCCUUGAAGAUUGAAGCAAAGGAGUUUCUAUUUGAGGAGUAGAAAUUAAAUGGUCAGCUGAGCUUGAAAAUCAGGGAAGCAAAGAAAGGGAUGGUGCUGUUAGAAGGUUUGGGGGUGAUUGAAGGGUUCAAGGAGUUUGUGGAAGAUGCAAGUAACAAAGGCAAACAAAAUAGUUGGAAAGAGUUUCUCUCAGAAACUGGAAGGUUUGUAGUAGAGUGUAAUAGAAACACCAAAGGCUUUUUCAUUUAUUUGACAGAAUUUUUUGGCAAGGGUAGGAAGCAGAUGGUCUACUUCCCAGAGGGAAGGAAAAGUCAGGGCUGGAAGGCAGUUCAUGGGGUAUUAUGUGAACUGCUACAACGGUUGGGUGCUAAAAGAGAAGUAACAGAAAAAAGGAAGAUAAGCAGUUCUACUAGUUUGGAGAGCAAUAAUAAGCAAGAGACUCUUAUAGUGACAGAUGGGGCAGGUAAACACAGAAUGGGAGUAAACAUACAGAGAGGAGAUUGGGAAAGUAAACUGAUAGUUAAAGCUUCAGCUCACAUUCUAGAUUGGAGGAAAGUUGCAGAUUUGUUAACAGCAAGCUUGAAGUUGAAGAAUACAUUUAUUUUAACACCCUUUGAGAAAGACAAGGCUUUGCUGGACUUGCUUGAGAAUAGAGUAGAAGUUAAUGCUCUAAAUAUCCAAGCUGAACUUGGGAAACUCACAUUAUCAAGAUGGUGUCCGGGAUCAAACUCCAAAGAUUUCUUUGUUGAAGAUGGAGUGCUGGUGCGUCUCUUAGGCCUUCCUUUUCACUUGUGGAAGCAAGAAACUGCUGAAGCCAUUGCUCUGAUGUGUGGAGGAUCUCUAGGAGGUGUUUUUUGGGGAGACCUCUUCUCAGCUUCCAUUUUAUUGAAUGAAGUAAAACCUGAGGAGAUUAGAGGUGUGACUGUGCGAGUUGAAGGACAAUUUUACUCAGUGUGGCUGGCUUCAUCCAUUGAAUCUGUGCUUUGGAAAGAGGCUCGUAGGGAGGGAGAUGAGAAGGUUGAAGAAGAAGAACUGCGUGGCAGUAAAGGAUUGGAUGGUUCAAACAAGAAUAGCACUUUUACUAAAAUGGAAAAACAAGUGCUGGAGAAACAAAAAGGUAGAAUUCAGGGGGAGGGUCUUAUGCGUGUAGAAGCAAUAAACAGUCUAGAGGGCGGCAGGUCCUUUGCACAGGUGGUAACUGGCGCCAAUAUGCCUAUUUUAAACAAGGAGAAGGUGUUGGUUCAGGGAAGAACCGAACCUAGGCUUGAUAAAACCAAACCGGGCCUUGGGCUGAACGUGCAUGACCUUUUUAAAAGUCACGUGAAGCCGCAGAUAUUUAAGAAAGGGACAAGUGAUAAGCCAAAGCCCAUGUUGAAAGGCCAAGUGGGCUUUGAGCGCUUUAAAGAAGGCCCUAAAAUUUCAGGGGCAGAGGCUUUAGUUGGGCCCACAAAAAUCAGGCCCACCUAUGGCGGGUAAGACAGGAAGCCCAGUUUAGAGGCCCAACCCAAAAGGUCAUGACUUAAAAAGGCACGUGACCAACCAUGUGCCUUCGAUAGAUGGUAAUUACUAUCUAUCUUCUUCUUCGAGUGCAACGAACCGUGCAACAGGGAGCUUGAACUCGGCGCGCUAUGGAGCUUCGAAACAGUGGGUUCCGGCAAUAAGAUUAGAGCAGUCAUUGCCUGAAAAACGCUAUCCAAGGUGUAUUAAACGAAGGGAGUUAGAGGAAAGAAAGAGGGAGCUCUCUCAGUUUGAAGUUUUUAGCGAUUCUGAAUCGGAUGAUUCUGAAAGUCUGGGCAGCAUCGAUCUUAGCAGAUCAAAGGAUAUUUCUGAAGAAGAUAACCUUGGAACGGAAGUAUUGUUCCUGGAGGAGGAGGGAGGUGAUUAUCAGAGUUUUGAGGGAGGCUUGAAGAUUUCGAUGGAACGGCAGAAGACAGCUACGGUUGGGACUCAGAUUCUGUCUACACUGGCAAGGGAGAUUAACUCCUUAGCGUAGGAAGAACAGGUUAUGUGUUUGGAAAGGAAAGACUCUACCGGACUGCUCUGUGAUGUAUCGCCUAUAGCCAGACAGCAGUGGAAGACUAACUCAGAUGCGGAAGUUGACAAGUUGCUGAUCUCCUAUGAUAAUUCUUCUAAGCAGAUCAGACCUCAGGAGACAGAUUUAGACUUAUAUCUCGAUGCCGGUUCUGACCCCCUGAAAGAGUUUCAUUUGGCUCCUAACAAUGAAGAUGCUGAUCGGGACAAGCUUUCCCAGUCCAGUGGAAAAUAUGCACAGUACUUGUGCAAGAUAUUAGAUGUUUACUUCUCAUAUCAC
Nelumbo nucifera (sacred lotus) is the source of this 3391-nucleotide non-coding RNA. The record is from RefSeq and is a predicted model, not a curated record. Lineage: Eukaryota; Viridiplantae; Streptophyta; Magnoliopsida; Proteales; Nelumbonaceae.